This 478-nucleotide ribosomal RNA is filed under the name uncultured Helotiales. RNAcentral's name for it is "eukaryotic LSU rRNA". The stretch from base 123 to 276 matches the Rfam family "5.8S ribosomal RNA". Lineage: Eukaryota; Fungi; Ascomycota; Leotiomycetes; Helotiales. The record is from RNAcentral.
ACCUUUGUUGCUUUGGCGGGCCGUCAGGCCUCGGUCAGGCUACCGGCUUCAGCUGGUAAGCGCCCGCCAGAGGACCCCAAACUCUGAAUAUUAGUGUCGUCUGAGUACUAUAUAAUAGUUAAAACUUUCAACAACGGAUCUCUUGGUUCUGGCAUCGAUGAAGAACGCAGCGAAAUGCGAUAAGUAAUGUGAAUUGCAGAAUUCAGUGAAUCAUCGAAUCUUUGAACGCACAUUGCGCCCCUUGGUAUUCCGGGGGGCAUGCCUGUUCGAGCGUCAUUACAACCCUCAAGCCUGGCUUGGUAUUGGGCUUCGCCGUUUUGGCGGGCCUUAAAAUCAGUAACAGUGUCGUUGGGGCCCUGAGCGUAGUACAUAUCGUCGCUAUAGGGAUUUCCACGGCCAUUAACCCUCACUUUCUAAGUUUGACCUCGGAUCAGGUAGGGAUACCCGCUGAACUUAAGCAUAUCAAUAAGCGGAGGAA